UACGUAGGGGGCGAGCGUUGUCCGGAAUUAUUGGGCGUAAAGGGCGUGUAGGCGGUUGCGUAAGUCAGGGGUGAAAACCCAGAGCUCAACUCUGGGACGGCCUCUGAAACUGCGUGACUUGAGUGCUCUAGAGGGCAGUGGAAUUGCCGGUGUAGCAGUGAAAUGCGUAGAGAUCGGCAGGAACACCAGUGGCGAAGGCGACUGCCUGGGGAGUAACUGACGCUGAGGCGCGAAAGCUGGGGGAGCAAACGGG
This 253-nucleotide unclassified non-coding RNA is filed under the name uncultured Eubacteriales bacterium. RNAcentral describes it as "contains 16S-23S intergenic spacer region". It matches the Rfam family "Bacterial small subunit ribosomal RNA", at positions 524 to 776 of the family's 1533-position model. Lineage: Bacteria; Bacillati; Bacillota; Clostridia; Eubacteriales. The record is from RNAcentral.